UUCUAUGGUGGACCGUGUGGGGCAGGCUUUUGCCUGGCCGGUUCCCUCGGACGCCGGUUUGUCACCCCCGCACGGUCCGCCACCCAU
The submitters of this non-coding RNA (87 nucleotides) gave its source as unclassified sequences. The record is from Rfam.